UGUAACUGGUGCAUUCCAGAACUUCUUCCAUCGAGUCACAUAGAAAGGACGUUGGGGUUGUGGCUUUACACCAUGUGAUGAAACAUCUGUAGCAAAUAAUGGAGUGGGCUUUGAAAUGGAAUGAAUGAAGAAGCUAAAAGUAUGAAUCUAGCAAUGUCCACAUGCAAAUUAUAAAUCAUUUUUGGCUCCCCGGUGAUCAACAUGCACAAUACUGGGAUGUCAAUGCUACCUUUCCCUACAAACCCAAAAACUAAAG
Polypterus senegalus (gray bichir) is the source of this 256-nucleotide long non-coding RNA. RefSeq lists it as uncharacterized. The record is from RefSeq and is a predicted model, not a curated record. The transcript has 3 exons. Lineage: Eukaryota; Metazoa; Chordata; Cladistia; Polypteriformes; Polypteridae.